AUACGGAGGGGGCUAGCGUUGUUCGGAAUUACUGGGCGUAAAGCGCGCGUAGGCGGAUUGAUCAGUCAGGGGUGAAAUCCCGAGGCUUAACCUCGGAACUGCCUUUGAUACUGUCAAUCUUGAGUUCGAGAGAGGUGAGUGGAAUUCCUAGUGUAGAGGUGAAAUUCGUAGAUAUUAGGAAGAACACCAGUGGCGAAGGCGGCUCACUGGCUCGAUACUGACGCUGAGGUGCGAAAGCGUGGGGAGCAAACAGGAUUAGAAACCCGAGUAGUCC
RNAcentral lists this ribosomal RNA (274 nucleotides) under uncultured bacterium. Its description in RNAcentral is "partial 16S ribosomal RNA". It matches the Rfam family "Bacterial small subunit ribosomal RNA", at positions 523 to 796 of the family's 1533-position model. The record is from RNAcentral.